This is a long non-coding RNA of Oncorhynchus tshawytscha (Chinook salmon), 439 nucleotides long. The record is from Ensembl. NCBI's taxonomy places the organism in Eukaryota, Metazoa, Chordata, Actinopteri, Salmoniformes, Salmonidae.
GAUGGAGAUGUGACCAUGUACUAGGGAUGGAGAUGUGACUAGGUACUAGGGAUGGAGAUGUGACCAGGUACUAGGGAUGGAGAUGUGACUAGGUACUAGGGAUGGAGAUGUGACUAGGUACUAGGGAUGGAGAUGUGACUAGGUACUAGGGAUGGAGAUGUGACUAGGUACUAGGGAUGGAGAUGUGACUAGGUGCUAGGGAUGGAGAUGUGACCAGGUGCUAGGGAUGGAGAUGUGACCAGGUACUAGGGAUGGAGAUGUGACUAGGUACUAGGGAUGGAGAUGUGACUAGGUACUAGGGAUGGAGAUGUGACCAGGUGCUAUGGAUGGAGAUGUGACCAGGUGCUAGGGAUGGAGAUGUGACUAGGUACUAGGGAUGGAGAUGUGACUAGGUACUAGGGAUGGAGAUGUGACCAGGUGCUAUGGAUGGAGAUGUGAC